CUGGGAUGUUCGUCUGUGAUCUGCCAGGCCCAUCAGUGGAGAAGAGGAGAAGGCUAACUGGGAGCCUGUACUGGGUUGUAAAUCUGUCCUGGUUGGGAGGCGUUCGUGGGAUGGCCUCACUUCUCCUGCAGCCCAUGGUAGGGCCUGAAGUCACAGCUGGAGCUGCAGACUUAAAGGAGCGGACUUGAUUGUUUCAGAGUCGCAAGGGGUGAUCGAGCCUGGUCAAGUCGCCAUCUCAGCGCAGAGCCAAACUAUAACCUGCUACCCAAAGAUGUUCAACAAAUCUUUUCAACUAAAGAUGAGAAAUACAAACUUUAGGAAAUGUUUUAACUUAAAACACGUGUAUGCACGUACAACACUUAAAAUGUUUAGUAUAUCAGAAUGUGGAAUUGAAUUAUGGAAUGAAUUAAGCAAAUAAGUAAAAACAAUGUACUAAUAUGACCCAACUUAGGAAACUGUUCAAACUCAAAGUGUUUGCAAAGUACAAAGAA
Molecule: long non-coding RNA, 491 nt
Organism: Nerophis ophidion (straightnose pipefish)
Lineage: Eukaryota; Metazoa; Chordata; Actinopteri; Syngnathiformes; Syngnathidae
Exons: 3
Source: RefSeq, a predicted model, not a curated record